CACCAUUGUUUUUUAAAACGAUCUAACUUGUCCAUUCCCAAGCUGUAGGAGAGUGAGAUGCUAUGGUGAGAGAGAAAGUUCUCCAGAAGAAGGUAGAAUAUCAACUCAUCUUCUGUUUGCUUUGGGUUUGCAAUCUCCACAUUCAUGUUCUGAUCCCACUUUUUGUUUUUGUUCUUUGCCAAUCAUCUUCUCUAUCUUUUAUAAAUGCUAAUUGUGUCUUUCUUAAGAAUGAUAUAUACUUUGGCCAUGUGAAGCCGAAGAUGUAUUUACAGGGAAGUCCUACUAAUAUUCCAUCUAUGGGUAAAUGUAUUCACUUUGAUCUUUGGAGGGUAAUUAUGAAGUUCACAGAAACUUUGAGAAAAUAAUAGCUUUUCUCUUUGUUGAGCAG
RNAcentral lists this long non-coding RNA (388 nucleotides) under Elaeis guineensis (African oil palm). RNAcentral describes it as "long non-coding RNA (EGUI_LNC019990)". The record is from RNAcentral. Lineage: Eukaryota; Viridiplantae; Streptophyta; Magnoliopsida; Arecales; Arecaceae.